AGACCCGAAACCCGGUGAUCUAGCCAUGGGCAGGUUGAAGGUUGGGUAACACUAACUGGAGGACCGAACCGACUAAUGUUGAAAAAUUAGCGGAUGACCUGUGGCUGGGGGUGAAAGGCCAAUCAAACCGGGAGAUAGCUGGUUCUCCCCGAAAGCUAUUUAGGUAGCGCCUCGUGAAUUCAUCUCCGGGGGUAGAGCACUGUUUCGGCUAGGGGGCCAUCCCGGCUUACCAACCCGAUGCAAACUGCGAAUACCGGAGAAUGUUAUCACGGGAGACACACGGCGGGUGCUAACGUCCGUCGUGAAGAGGGAAACAACCCAGACCGCCAGCUAAGGUCCCAAAGUCAUGGUUAAGUGGGAAACGAUGUGGGAAGGCCCAGACAGCCAGGAUGUUGGCUUAGAAGCAGCCAUCAUUUAAAGAAAGCGUAAUAGCUCACUGGUCGAGUCGGCCUGCGCGGAAGAUGUAACGGGGCUAAACCAUGCACCGAAGCUGCGGCAGCGACGCUGAUGCGUUGUUGGGUAGGGGAGCGUUCUGUAAGCCUGCGAAGGUGGCCUGUGAGGGUUGCUGGAGGUAUCAGAAGUGCGAAUGCUGACAUAAGUAACGAUAAAGCGGGUGAAAAGCCCGCUCGCCGGAAGACCAAGGGUUCCUGUCCAACGUUAAUCGGGGCAGGGUGAGUCGACCCCUAAGGCGAGGCCGAAAGGCGUAGUCGAUGGGAAACGGGUUAAUAUUCCCGUACUUGGUGUUACUGCGAAGGGGGGACGGAGAAGGCUAUGUUGGCCGGGCGACGGUUGUCCCGGUUUAAGCGUGUAGGUGUGUGUUCCAGGUAAAUCCGGUUCACUUUAACACUGAGGCGUGACGACGAGGCACUACGGUGCUGAAGCAACAAAUGCCCUGCUUCCAGGAAAAGCCUCUAAGCAUCAGGUAACAUCAAAUCGUACCCCAAACCGACACAGGUGGUCAGGUAGAGAAUACCAAGGCGCUUGAGAGAACUCGGGUGAAGGAACUAGGCAAAAUGGUGCCGUAACUUCGGGAGAAGGCACGCUGACACGUAGGUGAAGUGAUUUACUCAUGGAGCUGAAGUCAGUCGAAGAUACCAGCUGGCUGCAACUGUUUAUUAAAAACACAGCACUGUGCAAACACGAAAGUGGACGUAUACGGUGUGACGCCUGCCCGGUGCCGGAAGGUUAAUUGAUGGGGUCAGCGCAAGCGAAGCUCCUGAUCGAAGCCCCGGUAAACGGCGGCCGUAACUAUAACGGUCCUAAGGUAGCGAAAUUCCUUGUCGGGUAAGUUCCGACCUGCACGAAUGGCGUAAUGAUGGCCAGGCUGUCUCCACCCGAGACUCAGUGAAAUUGAACUCGCUGUGAAGAUGCAGUGUACCCGCGGCAAGACGGAAAGACCCCGUGAACCUUUACUAUAGCUUGACACUGAACAUUGAGCCUUGAUGUGUAGGAUAGGUGGGAGGCUUUGAA
RNAcentral lists this ribosomal RNA (1470 nucleotides) under Salmonella enterica subsp. enterica serovar Mbandaka. RNAcentral's name for it is "partial 23S ribosomal RNA". It matches the Rfam family "Bacterial large subunit ribosomal RNA", at positions 711 to 2161 of the family's 2925-position model. The record is from RNAcentral. Lineage: Bacteria; Pseudomonadati; Pseudomonadota; Gammaproteobacteria; Enterobacterales; Enterobacteriaceae.